This 4690-nucleotide long non-coding RNA is filed under the name Olea europaea subsp. europaea. Lineage: Eukaryota; Viridiplantae; Streptophyta; Magnoliopsida; Lamiales; Oleaceae. The record is from RNAcentral.
UUAAAAUUAGAAUGCCGAAAAUCAAAUUAAAAUUGAAUUUAAAUGAUUAGAAAAUUCAAAACCUUUAUUUGGUUUAGUUAAUUUUCCUUUUUUUUCCCCUUUAAAUGUGCUAAUUUUUACCAGAUUGUAACAUAGUUCCAUGUAAUUUUUAAGUAUGUAAGAACAAAACUGAUUUGUGGAUCUGUUUAUUCUAAUUUCUGUGAUCAUAUCGCUCAUGUAAACCUGUUAGACAUGGACCGUUCGUAUCGAGAAGAACCUGUAAAUCUUGAAGGUUCAUUGCUUCAAAUGAUCAAUGAUCACAACCAUGCUUCUACCAUACUACGUGAACGUACUGGUCAGUUAUAUUCAACCGAAUUUGUGAUUGAACCGUGAGAUUGUUAAUUUUUGGGAUUUUAUGAUGAAGCCAUUGACUUAAUCAUAUUUUGGGUUUUUUGUUUGUAAAAAAAAUCAGAGAAAGCAAAGAAAGAAGCAAUUCAGACUGCAGAGCGCGUUUCAGAUCUGUUGGUGAAUUCAGUGAAUGAGGGUGUGCAAGAGGUCUUCAUAAAUGAGAAGCGAAUUGAAAUGGAAAUUCGAGCUUUAGCUGCAACUAUUAUGCAAUUUACAAAGCAGACUGAUCAGUGGCUCACAGCUUCCCAUGCUAUUAACACUGCCAUUAAGGUUUAUACACUUGGUCUUUGAAUGAUAACUAUACUGGAUUUUGCCUGCUACCAUUGCAGUUUAGUACACAGAGAAGUGAUAGUUUUAUAUGAAACUGCAGUUUCUAGGAUAUUCUGUAUUUGCUUGUUACUAAAUUGUUGAAAUCAUAAGUGAAAAUGACAAUGGUUUGACCUACACAACUUAAGGAAAAGAUUUCAUGAGACUAAAUUUUCAGGCCGUUGGUCUGGAUCUUGGUUUCAAUAGGUAGAAGUAGAACUAUGGGAAGAACAAUUCUUUCUUAUUUUCCUUUUGCAUUCCAAGUGUGUGUUUGAGCUACAUUAUUUUGGAAGAAUGUAUGUUGGAAUGGUAGAUUGAUGGAGAAUGUGUGGUUAAAAAAUGAGAAAAAGUUUUGAAUUGGCAUGUGAUAUUAUUUUAUUGAAGAAUGUGUGGUUGAAAUGAUGUUAAAUCACUAUUUGAGAAUGUAUUUUUUUGAAAGAAUGUGGCUCAAACAGGGCCUAAAUAUACAAGGCAUUUAUUCAAACUUACUCGACUUAUAUACCAAGAUGAAAGAUACUUCUUAGCAUAUAUCCAUACAAACAUGACUUGCAAGAAGUAAAAGGAAUUUAUGAAAACUUUAUUUUCAUUCAUCAGCUUAGUUUAGGAAGUUAGUUGAACAUGUUGAUAUGGUUAAGGAUGCAACUUAUUUUAUGACAUUUACAAUUUAGUGAAAAGAGAGUGAAAGCAUUUGAGAAUGAGGGAAAUUCAGAAAUUGUGAAGCGCUUCAGGUUCUAUAAUUUUACUAGGCUAUAUCUCAUAUGAUGCUCACUUAUCAGGACAGAGUUUCUUACCUGUUGCUGGGAAAAUAAAAAUAUAUUUUUUGCUCUAUUCUAUUGGCUCCUGGCUUGUCAAACAACCAACUAUAAUCUCAUAAUACAGCACUUUAUGUCUGGGCUGGGUCAUUUUGAUUUUGUCAUUUUUUGUAAUCAUAGACUCUAUUCUAUUGGCUCCUGGCUUGUCAAACAACCAACUAUAAUCUCAUAAUACAGCACUUUAUGUCUGGGCUAGGUCAUUUUGAUUUUGUCAUUUUUUGUAAUCAUAGUGAUGUUUUCCUCUCUAGAAAUACAUACUAGAAUGAUAAAUAGGGGACAAUUAAUGCUAAGGAAUCAUUGAUUAAAAUGGCAAAUCAAAAUACUCAGUUUCAGCUUAGAAAAGGUAAGGAUAACGGUCAGUUUGAAUUUUUACUAUAAAUUGGAUUACAACUUGAACAAUUUUUAACUAAAUGAUUUGUGGUUGAAUGAGACAUAGGAUAAGCCGCUUAUUCCUGAGAUUUUAUGGACUCUAUAUACAGGAAAUUGGAGAUUUCGAGAAUUGGAUGAAGAUAAUGGAACUUGAUUGCAAAAGCAUUAGUGCUGCAAUCUGCAAUAUUCACCAAGAAUGAAAUGACAAGGCAAGCUUUCGAUUCCUUUCUUAUGCACAAUUCUUGUGCUUCCCUGUGUACAUGUUUUGUCCCAUGGGGCACUUAUUAUAUAUCUGAAAAUAUGUUUCAUUAUUGAUUGAGUAGAACCUCUAAAAACCUUUUAAUGCUCAACACUCCUUCGUACUGAUUUAUUUGUGUGCACUGGCCUCGCAUAUUUGAUGGCAGCCAUCCUCCAGCCUCCUCUCCAGUUCAGGGCAUAUUUCAGUUAUCUGUGUUAACGGUAUAGUUGUCUAAGUUGCCUGCACUAACUGGGAAUCGACUUCACUCAUUGCUAGGCAAACACUUAAGCUACUGGGAAGUUGCACAGAUGUACUCCAGCGGACACACAUGGAAUUUAAAAAAAAAUAAAAAUGAAAAAGAACAAACUCAAUUGUACGUUAUUAUUGUGAUAUUAAUCUUUCUAAGGGCAUGUGUGAGUUGAUCCAACUGGCUCAUUCCUUAUCUGGUUCGAGUCUGGAAGAUGCAGCUUGAGAAGUUUAAACGAACUUAAUCGUAUGAAGUUGCUGUCACUGAAUUAGAAUAUUCAUCCAAUCAAAAGAAUAGGGCAAUUGUUGUUUAUGUGGACUGACCUUCCACAGAAUAUAUAGGAACUGUGCAUGUUAUAGGCCAUUUAAUAGGGCUCCAAACUGGAAUGUGGAGGAUAUGAGUUUAUUGCGGAUGGCAGUUGGAAAAAUCAACGUACAAAAGAUGCAAUAGGCUGAACUCUUAACCAUGGAACUGAUUAUUCUAUAUUCCCUGUGAGUGCUAAGGUUUUAAAAUUGAGAAAUGUUUCACCAGCAUAACCCGAAAUCUGCAGAGCACUAGUGGGUCUAAUAGUGCAGGAAAUGAACCAAUACCCCCAAGGAGUUUAAUUUUAUUUCAGACUUCCUCUUUAGGAGUUCAUGAAAGAUUAAAGGGCAAAAUUAACUGUGUCCCUUAUGAUGACACAUUGCAAGUACGUAUGUUAGUUGUCAUCAACCCCCCCCCCCCCCAAAAAAAAAAAAAAAAAUUCCAAACUCCAAUCUUUGGUCUACUCUGAAGAGUCUCGUGUUUUCCAUUUUUUUUUUAUUUUUUUUUUCAAUUGCAUUACACAUCUUUGGCCGCAGCUGGUAGUGUUUUUCUUUUUGGAUGGGUGGGUCCGUGGUUUGCAGCAAUUGAAAGUGGUAUUUUGAUGAGUGGAGUAUAAAAAUUAUUAUUUUUGAGGCUAGGCAUAUUUACAAGCCAUCAGGUGUGAUUUUUCGUACUUGUAUCCAAAAUUCCAAAUGAUAAUAGAAUUUAAAAAAAGAAUACUGCUAUAUAGUACCAAUGAUAUUAGUCUUAUUAGAGCAUCAGUUUAAGUGUCAUAAUGUGAUUUGCUGGAGUUAUGUAAUUCAUUUAAUUGUGUCUCUCAUUUAAUGCCACUUAGGUGCCACUUAAUCUAGUGUUAUAACUUCAGUAGUGGUAAAUAACAUUACGCUUUAAAAAAUGCAGAUGUUCUACAAGUUACCAUUCAGCUUUUGGUGCACUUGAUAAUUUGUUAUAAAACAAAUCAACCUUUUCCAGUUUAAUGCAUAUAAACUCCAGUUUUUGACAUACUUGUUUUUUUUUUUAAUUGGACAACAUUAUAUUUAUUUUAUUAUUUUUUGCCUGGGUAGGGGGCUUGGUGACCCUUAUAUGUAGGUCAAUAAUAAGAAUAAAGUACAUGGGUGGGGGAUAUGGUUCUUACCUCCACAAUUUUAGAGAGGAUAUGGAGAGGGUUUGCAUAAGCUAAAUAUGGAGGUACUAACUCCAUCAUAAAUAGUCGAUGAAAGCCUAAAUAAAGCUAUAAAUUUUUAAUUACUACUCACAUUUGCAGAAAUAACUACAAAGGAAUUAUCACUAAGAUCAGCCUUCAUUGUUUUCAGAAAUAAGGAAUUUGCAUCUUAUCAAAUCUUAUGAGACCCCCAACCGUACCUUGCAUGUAUCCAUGUUCGAAUAUUUAGGUAGUCUUCAUCUCCAUCCCCUUAUUAGCCAUAUACCCUGCUUGCCUUCUCUAAAUAAGUGCGUCACUCCACGUCUCAAUUCGUUUAUCAACAAUUUAAUUCCAUCAACCUUUUUUGAAAUACUUGGUAAUAAAUCUCGUCUUUAUCUCAGGUCGGAGGUUUUCACAAUGAAUCAGUGAUGAUAUGAUGGGAGGCAUUCUGUGAUCACCCAUCUGUGAUGCUGAGUGGGUGACUGUUUUGCAGGAAGAAGCCUUGUUGACAUGUUUAGCAUCUGCUAUUGUCAAUUCUACACUCAGAUAUUUCACGAUGACUCUACCUUCUAGUAGUUUUGAACUAUCAGCUGUAAACAUGUGCCUGCACUUACUCACUUAAACAUCCCAGCACCAUGAAUGGGAAAGGGGAGUUAUGUAUGAUCUUGAUGGACAACUUUGUUCUUCUUUACUUACUGAUUCUUUUGAAGUUCUAUUGCAAAAGUUUACCUAUCUGUUUUUAGUAUUUGUCAUUGUUGGGCCAGCUUGUUUUGAUACUUGUACGCUUUUCUUUGCUUUUUCGUUUUUGAGUAAAGUGAAAGAUGUGAUGGAUUUAACGAUUCUAUUUGAGUUAUUUAUCCUGUGAAUUUUAAAGUACAUUAAACAUC